GGGGGUGAACGGUUUCGACAACAGUGAAUCGCGUUAGGUGAAGCGGGCCGAGGUUCAAGGCAGAACUCGUAAACCAUGUCUUGAAAAAACAAGUGCAAAUAAAUCUCGCACUGACUUUGCUCUAGCUGCUUAAAGUAGCUUUAGCCAUAAAGUCCGUCAGCUCAGAAGUUCCUUCGAUCUGAGAUCUGGCGUCGAAAGAAGGAUCACUAACUAGUCGGGUUACGAGAUUAGUGAGGAAAUCAAACAGUAACUUUGACCGUGUUGCUAGCAAGGCCACGAGUAACUAGCAGGUCAAGAACACGCAAUUGUGGAUGCGCCCGGAGAAGCCCUAGUACGACGCUGAUGGACGCGGGUUCAAAUCCCGCCACCUCCAC
Molecule: transfer-messenger RNA, 374 nt
Filed under: Actinomycetes bacterium
Lineage: Bacteria; Bacillati; Actinomycetota; Actinomycetes
Rfam family: transfer-messenger RNA
About the family: Bacterial tmRNA, also known as 10Sa RNA or SsrA, is named for its dual tRNA and mRNA-like properties. Its role is to liberate the mRNA from a stalled ribosome.
Source: RNAcentral